AUUGAACGCUGGCGGCAGGCUUAACACAUGCAAGUCGAGCGAGCGGCGGACGGGUGAGUAAUGUCUGGGAAACUGCCCGAUGGAGGGGGAUAACUACUGGAAACGGUAGCUAAUACCGCAUACCAUCUGAUGUGCCCAGAUGUGAUUAGCUAGUAUGUGGGGUAAUGGCUCACCUAGGCGACGAUCCCUAGCUGGGCUGAGAGGAUGACCAGCCACACUGGAACGGAGACACGGUCCAGACUCCUACGGGAGGCAGCAGUGGGGAAUAUUGCACAAUGGGCGAAAGCCUGAUGCAGCAAUGCCGCGUGUGUGAAGAAGGCCUUCGGGUUGUAAAGCACUUUCAGCGAGGAGGAGUGACAGGAAGAAGAAGCACCGGCUAACUCCGUGCCAGCAGCCGCGGUAAUAG
RNAcentral lists this ribosomal RNA (406 nucleotides) under uncultured bacterium. Its description in RNAcentral is "partial 16S ribosomal RNA". It matches the Rfam family "Bacterial small subunit ribosomal RNA", at positions 30 to 526 of the family's 1533-position model. The record is from RNAcentral.